ACAGAACGCUUAACACACGCAAGUUCAACUUCGAACCUCGGUUUCGGGUCGGCGGACGGGCGAGUAACGCGUAAAGAACUUCGCCCUCACAGAUAGGGACAACAUUCGGAAACGAAUCGCUAAUACCUGAUAUUAUGAUCUUAGGGCAUCCUAGAAUUAUGAAAGCUAUAUGCACUGUGAGAGAGCUUCGCGUCCCAUUAGCUAGUUGGAGAGGUAACGGCUCACCAAGGCGAUGAUGGGUAGCCGGCCUGAGAGGGUGAUUCGGCCACAAGGGGACUGAGACACGGCCCUUACUCCUACGGGAGGCAGCAGUGGGGAAUAUUGGACAAUGGACCAAGAGUCUGAUCCAGCAAUUCUGUGUGCACGAUGAAGUUUUUCGGAAUGUAAAGUGCUUUCAGUUGGGAAGAAAAAAAUGACGGUACCAACAGAAGAAGUGACGGCUAAAUACGUGCCAGCAGCCGCGGUAAUACGUAUGUCACAAGCGUUAUCCGGAUUUAUUGGGCGUAAAGCGCGUCUAGGUGGUUAUGUAAGUCUGAUGUGAAAAUGCAGGGCUCAACUCUGUAUUGCGUUGGAAACUGUGUAACUAGAGUACUGGAGAGGUAAGCGGAACUACAAGUGUAGAGGUGAAAUUCGUAGAUAUUUGUAGGAAUGCCGAUGGGGAAGCCAGCUUACUGGACAGAUACUGACGCUGAAGCGCGAAAGCGUGGGUAGCAAAACAGGAUUAGAUACCCUGGUAGUCCACGCCGUAAACGAUGAUUACUAGGUGUUGGGGGUCGAACCUCAGCGCCCAAAGCAAAACGCGAUAAGUAUUCCGCCUGGGGAGUACGUACGCAAAGUAUGAAACUCAAAGGAAUUGACGGGGACCCGCACAAGCGGUGGAGCAUGUGGUUUAAAUUCGACGCAACGCGAGGAACCUUACCAGCGUUUGACAUCUUAGGAAAUGAGAACAGAGAUGUUUCAGUGUCCCUUCGGGGAAACCUAAGAACAGGUGGUGCAUGGCUGUUCGUCAGCUCGUGUCGUGAGAUGUUGGGUUAAGUUCCCGCGAACGAGCGGCGACCCCUUUCGUAUGUUACCAUCAUUAAAGUUGGGAACUCAUGCGAUACUGCCUGCGAUGAAGCGGGAGGAAGGUGGGGAUGAACGUCGAGUCGUCUAUGCCCCUUAUUACGCUGGGCUACGCGCGUGCUACGAUGGGU
This 1193-nucleotide ribosomal RNA is filed under the name uncultured bacterium. Its description in RNAcentral is "bacterial SSU rRNA". It matches the Rfam family "Bacterial small subunit ribosomal RNA", at positions 39 to 1235 of the family's 1533-position model. The record is from RNAcentral.